GAUGAACGCUGGCGGCGUGCUUAACACAUGCAAGUCGAACGAACGACUAUUAACAGAACCUUUCGGGGCGAAGAAUAUAGAAGUUAGUGGCGGACGGGUGCGUAACGCGUGGGUAAUCUGCCUUUGUCAAAGGAAUAACUAUUCGAAAGAAUAGCUAAAACCGUAUAACAUAUUAAUAGGGCAUCCUAAUAAUAUCAAAACGAUAGUGGACAAAGAUGAGCCCGCGUCUGAUUAGCUAGUUGGUGAGAUAAAAGCCCACCAAGGCAACGAUCAGUAGCCGACCUGAGAGGGUGAACGGCCACAUUGGAACUGAGACACGGUCCAAACUCCUACGGGAGGCAGCAGUGGGGAAUAUUGCACAAUGGGGGGAACCCUGAUGCAGCAACGCCGCGUGAGUGAAGAAGGCAUUCGUGUCGUAAAACUCUGUAGUAGGGGAAGAAAGAAAUGACAGUACCCUAAAAGAAAGCCCCGGCUAACUACGUGCCAGCAGCCGCGGUAAUACGUAGGGGGCAAGCGUUAUCCGGAAUAACUGGGCGUAAAGGGUGCGCAGGUGGUUUAACAAGUUAGUGGUGAAAGGCAUAGGCUCAACCAAUGUAAGCCAUUAAAACUGUUUAACUUGAGUGCAGGAGAGGAAAGUGGAAUUCCUAGUGUAGCGGUGAAAUGCGUAGAUAUUAGGAGGAAUACCAGUGGCGAAGGCGACUUUCUGGACUGCAACUGACACUGAGGCACGAAAGCGUGGGGAGCAAACAGG
Molecule: ribosomal RNA, 751 nt
Filed under: uncultured Filifactor sp.
Lineage: Bacteria; Bacillati; Bacillota; Clostridia; Peptostreptococcales; Filifactoraceae
Description: bacterial SSU rRNA
Rfam family: Bacterial small subunit ribosomal RNA
Source: RNAcentral